RNAcentral lists this ribosomal RNA (440 nucleotides) under uncultured bacterium. RNAcentral describes it as "partial 16S ribosomal RNA". It matches the Rfam family "Bacterial small subunit ribosomal RNA", at positions 338 to 795 of the family's 1533-position model. The record is from RNAcentral.
CCUACGAGAGGCAGCAGUGGGGGAUAUUGCACAAUGGGGGGAACCCUGAUGCAGCGACGCCGCGUGGGUGAAGGAGCGUUUCGGCGCGUAAAGCCCUAUCGGCAGGGAAGAAGAUGACGGUACCUGAGUAAGAAGCCCCGGCUAACUACGUGCCAGCAGCCGCGGUAAUACGUAGGGGGCAAGCGUUAUCCGGAUGUACUGGGGGUAAAGGGAGCGUAGACGGCAGUGCAAGACUGGAGUGAAAGGCGGGGGCUCAACCCCCGGACUGUUCUGGAAACUGUACGGCUGGAGUGCAGGAGAGGUAAGUGGAAUUCCUAGUGUAGCGGUGAAAGGCGUAGAGAUUAGGAGGAACACCAGUGGCGAAGGCGGCUUACUGGACUGUAACUGACGUUGAGGCUCGAAAGCGUGGGGAGCAAACAGGAUUAGAUACCCGAGUAGUC